CAGCAGCCGCGGGAAAACGUAGGGUGCAAGCGUUAAUCGGAAUUACUGGGCGUAAAGCGUGCGCAGGCGGUUAUAUAAGUCAGAUGUGAAAUCCCCGGGCUCAACCUGGGGACUGCAUUUGAGACUGUAUGGCUAGAGUGUGUCAGAGGGGGGUAGAAUUCCACGUGUAGCAGUGAAAUGCGUAGAUAUGUGGAGGAAUACCGAUGGCGAAGGCAGCCCCCUGGGAUAACACUGACGCUCAUGCACGAAAGCGUGGGGAGCAAACAGGAUUAGAUACCCGCGUAGUCCCUGUCUCUUAUAC
This 301-nucleotide ribosomal RNA is filed under the name uncultured bacterium. Its description in RNAcentral is "partial 16S ribosomal RNA". It matches the Rfam family "Bacterial small subunit ribosomal RNA", at positions 509 to 807 of the family's 1533-position model. The record is from RNAcentral.